Molecule: long non-coding RNA, 1348 nt
Organism: Gopherus evgoodei (Goodes thornscrub tortoise)
Lineage: Eukaryota; Metazoa; Chordata; Testudines; Testudinidae
Exons: 6
Source: RefSeq, a predicted model, not a curated record
UGCGGAGACCGGCGGCGGGCCGGGGUAGGGAGAGCCGUUCCCCUCCUCACCCUGCCUGCGGCGGCGGCCGGCUCGCCACCUGCCCACGGAGCUCGAGGCGCCGAGAGUUUCGGAGCCCGGCGCCAUCGCCCUCCGCCUGUUCGCAGCCCCGUACGGAGCUCGGCUCGCCGCUCUCCGUCUGCCCGGAACCCCUGAGUGCCGGGCCCGAAGUGGCCCGCGAGGCCGGUGCCCAGGUGCCUCCCCGACUCCGGCGAACCGAGCGGCGGCCGAACCACCUGAGAGCCCCGUUGCGGCUGCCUCCCCGGCCAUCUUGUGCGGUGUGUGUGAGGCAGAGUCUGUCUCUCCCGUCUUCUCUCAACUCCUUCCUCCCCUCCCCCCGCACAACAUGGCCGCCAGAGUCAGUACUCACUGCGGCGGGGAAGGGGCUGGGCCUGCGCUUCUACCCCCUGCCUAUCGCUCAUCCCCCCACUUCCUGCCUUCUGCGCGUGCGCCAACCACUGCUCUCUACUGGCCGCGCAGCUCCCUCCCCUCCGGGCCCAGCGCGCGCCGAUUCAAUUGGCCGCGCUUCUCUCUCCUUCCUCCCCCAUCCUGGGCCCGCGCGCAACUCAGCUGCCGCUCCCUAUUGGGCGCGCGUCUUACUGGUCUUUCCACCGCAACCCCAACGGUCGCAGCACAGUAUGGUUCAUCAAGCCCCUGAAAAGGUAUAAACUAAAUCAGGAGCUACUCUUUGAUCUGUGCCACUAGAUUUCCCUUUCAUCUUUGUUUCUAAUGGCCUCCACAAUGUAACAUUGUAGUGUAUAAAUAUGCUACACCCUAACCGAAUUAAAGUGAUGAAGCUUGAACAAAUGCACAAAAAUGAGCUUGCAGGAUUGAAAAAGUGGGGAAGCUGGACACAUUGCUAAGGCUUUACCCACAUUCGGAAAGGAAGUAUCUGCAAACAGGAUCUUUUACCAACCCCCACCUCUAUCGGUAAAUACCUCUUGUAGAGUCACAGGAGUGUUCUGCUAAACUGGGAGAGGCUCAUCAUUUUAUCAGGAGUCCAAAGAGUACUUGGCAACGAUAAGGGAUCCAUGCCCAAGUUAUGAACUAACUUUGCCAGUGGAAAGGAGAGAGAAUGCAAAAGCAGAGAUUAGCCUGAUUAUAUAUAAGAGGAGGCUGAUGAGGAAAUAACUACCUCAGAGUUACUCUUAAGAAGUAGCAGUAGUGAAAAGGAAGCACUGUUAACUUGAGGGCUGGCAGAGAAAUUGAGAAAUGAAUCUGCAAUGUUCAUGCAGGCCAGAUGACAGUGAAGGGAAGGAAGAGCAAAAUGGAUGAGCUACGAAAGGAACACUAUAUAUAUUUCAUUUAC